UGUGGGAGGGGGCUUGCUCCCGAUAGUGGUAUAUCAGCCACCUCUGUAUGGGCUGAACCACCGCCAUCGGGAGCAAGCCCCCUCCCACA
RNAcentral lists this unclassified non-coding RNA (89 nucleotides) under Pseudomonas trivialis. Lineage: Bacteria; Pseudomonadati; Pseudomonadota; Gammaproteobacteria; Pseudomonadales; Pseudomonadaceae. The record is from RNAcentral.